UAGGAGGAGGUUUGCGGUAUGUGUGGUACUGAGGUAAUGGCUGCGCACAGUACCACCCAUGCCGCCCUCCUCCCCCUACA
This is a non-coding RNA of Myotis lucifugus (little brown bat), 80 nucleotides long. Lineage: Eukaryota; Metazoa; Chordata; Mammalia; Chiroptera; Vespertilionidae. The record is from Rfam.